AGAGUUUGAUCCUGGCUCAGGACGAACGCUGGCGGCGUGCUUAACACAUGCAAGUCACGGGGGCCCGCAAGGGCAACCGGCGAACGGGUGCGUAACACGUGAGCAACCUGCCGAUCUGUGGGGGAUAGCCGGCCCAACGGCCGGGUAAUACCGCAUACUCUCGUUGAGGGGCAUCCCUUGACGAGCAAACCUCCGGGGCAGAUCGAGGGGCUCGCGACCUAUCAGCUAGUUGGUGAGGUAACGGCUCACCAAGGCGACGACGGGUAGCUGGUCUGAGAGGAUGGCCAGCCACAUUGGGACUGCGACACGGCCCAGACUCCUACGGGAGGCAGCAGUGGGGAAUAUUGCGCAAUGGACGAAAGUCUGACGCAGCGACGCCGCGUGUGGGAUGAAGCUCUUCGGGGUGUAAACCACUGUUGCCCGGGAAGAACCUCCCCUUUCGAGGGGAUUGACGGUACCGGGUGAGGAAGCACCGGCUAACUCUGUGCCAGCAGCCGCGGUAAUACAGAGGGUGCGAGCGUUGUCCGGAAUCACUGGGCGUAAAGGGCGCGUAGGUGGCGGGAUAAGCGUGUGGUGAAAGCCCGGGGCUCAACUCCGGGUCUGCCAUGCGGACUGUCUUGCUCGAGCAUAGUAGAGGCAGGUGGAAUUCCGGGUGUAGCGGUGGAAUGCAGAGAUCCGGAGGAACACCGGUGGCGAAGGCGGCCUGCUGGGCUAUUGCUGACACUGAAGCGCGACAGCGUGGGGAGCAAACAGGAUUAGAUACCCCAGUAGUCC
RNAcentral lists this ribosomal RNA (774 nucleotides) under uncultured bacterium. RNAcentral's name for it is "bacterial SSU rRNA". It matches the Rfam family "Bacterial small subunit ribosomal RNA", at positions 8 to 796 of the family's 1533-position model. The record is from RNAcentral.